AGUGGAUGGGGAGCAACCUAGUUGUGCGUGUGUAAAGGUAGUGCCAAGAAAAGCGAUGAUCAUGUUGAAAAUCAAUUCCCGGUACCCGAAACCGACACAGGUGGGCAAGUAGAGAAUACUAAGGGGCGCGAGGUAACUCUCUCCAAGGAACUCGGCAAAAUGACCCCGUAACUUAGGGAGAAGGGGUGCCACCGAGAGGUGGUCGCAGUGAAGAGGCCCAGGCGACUGUUUAGCAAAAACAUAGGUCUCUGCAAACUCGAAAGAGGAGGUAUAGGGGCUGACGCCUACCCAGUGCCGGAAGGUUAAAGAAGUUGGUCAGUUUUAGGAUGAAGCUAGCGACUGAAGCCCCGGUGAACGGCGGCCGUAACUAUAACGGUCCUAAGGUAGCGAAAUUCCUUGUCGGGUAAGUUCCGACCCGCACGAAAGGCGUAACGAUCUGGGCGCUGUCUCGGAGAGAGGCUCGGCGAAAUAGGAUUGUCUGUGAAGAUACGGACUACCUGCAUUUGGACAGAAAGACCCUAUGAAGCUUUACUAUAGCUUGGAAUUGUGUUCGGGCUUCCUGUGCGCAGGAUAGGUGGGAGGCGUAGAAGGUAUUCUUGUGGGGAUACUGGAGCCAACGGUGAGAUACCACUCUCAGGAGGCUAGAAUUCUAACUUAAUUAAGGACAGUUUCAGGUGGGUAGUUUGACUGGGGCGGUCGCCUCCAAAAAGGUAACGGAGGCGUACAAAGGUUCCCUCAGACUGGUUGGAAAUCAGUCGAAGAGUGCAAAGGCAGAAGGGAGCUUGACUGCGAGAAGUACAGUUCGAGCAGGGUGGAAACACGGUCUUAGUGAUCCGACGGUGCUGUGUGGAAGGGCCGUCGCUCAACGGAUAAAAGUUACUCUAGGAUAACAGGCUGAUCUCCCCCAAGAGUUCACAUCGACGGGGAGGUUUGGCACCUCGAUGUCGGCUCAUCGCAACCUGGGGCGGAAGUACGUCCCAAGGGUUGGGCUGUUCGCCCAUUAAAGCGGUACGUGAGCUGGGUUCAGAACGUCGUGAGACAGUUCGGUCCAUAUCCGAUGUAGGCGUGAGAAUAUUGAGAGGAGCCUUCCUUAGUACGAGAGGACCGGGAAGGACGCACCGCUGGUGUACCUGUUAUGAUGCCAAUUGUAAACGCAGGGUAGCCAAGUGCGGAGAGGAUAACCGCUGAAAGCAUCUAAGUGGGAAGCCCACCUCAAGAUGAGUAUUCUGGUGUAAGGUCACGGGAAGACGACCCGUAAAUAGGCACGAGGUGGAAGUGCAGAGAUGUAUGAAGCCGAAGUGUACUAAUAGACCGUCGGCUUG
This 1322-nucleotide ribosomal RNA is filed under the name metagenome. Its description in RNAcentral is "bacterial LSU rRNA". It matches the Rfam family "Bacterial large subunit ribosomal RNA", at positions 1561 to 2925 of the family's 2925-position model. The record is from RNAcentral.